This 927-nucleotide long non-coding RNA is filed under the name Castor canadensis (American beaver). RNAcentral describes it as "lncRNA (ENSCCNG00000029993.1)". The record is from RNAcentral. Lineage: Eukaryota; Metazoa; Chordata; Mammalia; Rodentia; Castoridae.
AUAAAUAAUUUAGAAAUGAUUAUAGUAUCAGGAUACGUGUAGUGAUAUGCUUUAUAUAAGAGAUUUAAGCAUCUGUGGAUUUUGGUAUUUGCAGGGGUCCUGGAGCUAAUCACUCGGGGACACUGAGGGACAACUGUGCUGUGUCCUAUGAGACAGAAUCAUUCUGAGGUUUGUCUCCCACUUGGCCCUGACUUGGGGAUCUUUAAAGGACAGGACGUUUUCUGUGUGUGUCCCUGCUCUGCUUGUGCCUACAAUAGCAACAGGACUUCCUAAUUAUUUGCAGAAAGACUCAAAGACUAAGCCAGACCUGAAAUAAACUUCCAGUGCCCACAGUACACAAAAUAAAAACAGGACUCCAUGUACCCUGUAUAGAGAGGAAUGGAGAUUGCCUCUGGCCACUUCAGUUGCUAAGCUGUCCUGCGGUGGUUCUGGCACAGGGAAGGGAGUGUUGAGGCCCAUCUGCCCGUCAGCAUCACAGCAUGGCAGCCAUUGAUCUGUCCCAUGACUUUGUUUCUCGAGAGCCAGUCUGCUUUUAUGAAGAAGAGACAGAUGUAGAAAGGAUGGUGGUUGACUGCCAGGCAAACUGUUACCAGGUAAAAAGAAAGGGUAUCAUGCAAAGUGAAAUUCUUCCAUCCCCGAGCUAGACACAUGUCCUUCUAGACAGACUCGUCUCCAGAGCUUUCAAAGGAAUACAGCGCCACUCAAGGCCUGAGUCCCUAGUUGGAUUUCCCCUGGGGACUCGGCCUUAGAUUGGUGAAGUGUUACUUUGAAGGUCAUCCUUAUAUUUCAGUAAUUUUUUUGUGGUGCUGGGGAUUGAACCUAGGUAAGCCCUCUACCACUAACUACACCCCCACACUUACUAAUUUUUUUUUUCCUUUGAGACAGGGUCUGGCUGUAUAGCUCAGCCUGGAACUUGUCAUGUAGCCC